RNAcentral lists this ribosomal RNA (460 nucleotides) under uncultured bacterium. RNAcentral's name for it is "partial 16S ribosomal RNA". It matches the Rfam family "Bacterial small subunit ribosomal RNA", at positions 338 to 795 of the family's 1533-position model. The record is from RNAcentral.
CCUACGGGAGGCUGCAGUGAGGAAUAUUGGUCAAUGGGCUUACGCCUGAACCAGCCAAGUCGCGUGAGGGAAGACUGCCCUAUGGGUUGUAAACCUCUUUUGUCAGGGAGCAACGCCGGCUACGUGUAGCCGGACUGAGAGUACCUGAAGAAAAAGCAUCGGCUAACUCCGUGCCAGCAGCCGCGGUAAUCCGGAGAAUGCGAGCGUUAUCCGGAUUUAUUGGGUUAAAAGGGUGCGUCGGCGGAAUGCCAAGUCAGCGGUAAAAUGGCGGGGUGCAACCUCGCUCCGCCGUUGAAACUGGCAGUCUUGAGUGGGCGAGAAGUAGGCGGAAUGCGUGGUGUAGCGGUGAAAUGCAUAGAUAUCACGCAGAACUCCGAUUGCGAAGGCAGCAUACCGGCGCCCAACUGACGCUGAAGCACGAAAGCGUGGGUAUCGAACAGGAUUAGAUACACGGGUAGUC